GAGUUUGAUCAUGGCUCAGAUUGAACGCUGGCGGCAUGCCUUACACAUGCAAGUCGAACGGCAGCAUGAUCUAGCUUGCUAGAUUGAUGGCGAGUGGCGAACGGGUGAGUAAUACAUCGGAACGUGCCCUGUAGUGGGGGAUAACUAGUCGAAAGAUUAGCUAAUACCGCAUACGACCUGAGGGUGAAAGUGGGGGACCGCAAGGCCUCAUGCUAUAGGAGCGGCCGAUGUCUGAUUAGCUAGUUGGUGGGGUAAGGCCCACCAAGGCGGCGAUCAGUAGCUGGUCUGAGAGGACGAUCAGCCACACUGGGACUGAGACACGGCCCAGACUCCUACGGGAGGCAGCAGUGGGGAAUCUUGGACAAUGGGCGAAAGCCUGAUCCAGCAAUGCCGCGUGUGUG
RNAcentral lists this ribosomal RNA (401 nucleotides) under uncultured microorganism. Its description in RNAcentral is "bacterial SSU rRNA". It matches the Rfam family "Bacterial small subunit ribosomal RNA", at positions 9 to 407 of the family's 1533-position model. The record is from RNAcentral.